GUAGUGGUGGUUCAGUGGUAGAAUUCUUGCCUUGCAAGUGGGAGACUCAGGUUCGAUUCCUGGCCAGUGCA
This 71-nucleotide transfer RNA is filed under the name Loxodonta africana (African savanna elephant). It matches the Rfam family "tRNA". Rfam says of the family: Transfer RNA (tRNA) molecules are approximately 80 nucleotides in length. Their secondary structure includes four short double-helical elements and three loops (D, anti-codon, and T loops). Lineage: Eukaryota; Metazoa; Chordata; Mammalia; Proboscidea; Elephantidae. The record is from Rfam by way of RNAcentral.